RNAcentral lists this ribosomal RNA (301 nucleotides) under uncultured bacterium. RNAcentral describes it as "partial 16S ribosomal RNA". It matches the Rfam family "Bacterial small subunit ribosomal RNA", at positions 509 to 809 of the family's 1533-position model. The record is from RNAcentral.
CAGUAGCCGCGGGAACACGAAGUGUGCAAGCGUUACUCGGAAUUACUGGGCGUAAAGCGUGCGUAGGUGGUGGUUUAAGUCCGUUGUGAAAGCCCUGGGCUCAACCUGGGAAUUGCAGUGGAUACUGGGUCACUAGAGUGUGGUAGAGGAUAGUGGAAUUUCCGGUGUAGCAGUGAAAUGCGUAGAGAUCGGAAGGAACAUCUGUGGCGAAGGCGACUAUCUGGGCCAACACUGACACUGGGGCACGAAAGCGUGGGGAACAAACAGGAUUAGAUACCCCCGUAGUCCCUGUCUCUUAUAA